CUUGUCUGUUGUGCUGACCGAAACUUUCCCAGGUUUCAGGCACCAUGUGAUGUGCUGAGUAGAAGCCAGGCUCCUUUCUGUGUGACUAAGGUACACUCAUGCAGCCAUGGAGGGAUCAGAAGUCAGAAAGCAUUUUGAGGAGUUUGGGGCACCCCAUAAAUGUGGUGGUAUGAUAUCUUCUUGUCCCUGGCUUGUCAUCCUUACUGCAAGGAGGCCCUUUCCUGGCAAAGAGAACCAUCAGUGGCCCAAAGUCACAAUCAAUUAAAGCACUCAUUGACUGUUUUCCCUUCUGCCCAGUAGAAGAGGGGACUCUUGAAAAUUGGCAUCAAGUUUUACUCAUAUUUAGGAACUCGACAGAAACAGCCUCUGGUCAAAUGGCAUAUUGGAGUUAUCAGAUAAAAGAUGCUAUUUUGUAUAAGCAAAUGAGCCCUUUGCAGUCCUUUUGUGAAUUAUCUAUGGCCUGAAUGCUGUACUGCUCAGCAUUCUGUUCCAUAAACAUCUAUUUAAUGAGUUAAUUCUUUCCUAUAUUUCUGUUGUUGGAGUGAGCUCACAGACUCUCCAUACAGGCCGUUUUCAUAUUGCUUGAUUAAUGUUCUGUUGUUAAUGUGCCUCAUAAGACCUGGAUCACAGGCUUUAUUGAAAUGGGAUUUUUAGAGUUUCAGGGGCAGCACUCAUGUUUGUGGACUCUAUCCUAAGAGGUAACUCCAGCACUAAGUAUUCAGAAUGAGUAAAUUAAAAAAAAUAAAAAUGAAUGGCUAAAUUUUGUAAACAUCAACACAGGAGAACAACUUGGGUGACUGCUGAAUCUUUGGAAAAAGUUACAGAUGUAGUUUGAAAAUAGGCUGCAUGUAUGGUGGUAUAUCCCAUUCUGGAAGUGUAGUAAGAUAUGUCAUGAGCUUUGUAAUGUUUUGAGCAACCAAUUAAAAAAAAUUAAAAAAAAAGAAAAGAAAAAAAAUACAUCUUAUUAAAAUAACUCUAAUGUUUAAAAAAAAAAAGUUUUGUUGGUUGAUAUGGAGUAUGACAAAUAUGUCCAUUUUUCAUUUUCAAGUAUUAGAUCCGUUGGUUGAUGUUAAGAUUAGUAUUUCCCAAAGAGGUAUAGCGUUUGGAUUUUUAUCAUUGUGUAUAUUAUGAUAUUUAUAUCACACCAUAUUACUUUAAAAUGGAAAGUUAAAGAGUGGUCUUUUAGGGGCUGGGAAUAUAGCUCAGUGGCUAAGUGCUUGCCUAUCAUGUACAAGGUCCUGGGUUUGAUCCCCAGCACUACCAAAAAACAAACGCAAAACAAACAAACAAAAACAACUAACAAGCAAACCAGAAAAUAUCCCUCCAAAUAAUGGCUUUUUUAUAUGUUGAACAUUUCAGCUAUUAAUAACUACCCAGUAAUUAUCAUUUGAAACUGUCAUUAUAAAAAAACAAAAUAACUUUCCUAUCUAGCAGACUUCAUCUA
Molecule: long non-coding RNA, 1444 nt
Filed under: Marmota monax (woodchuck)
Lineage: Eukaryota; Metazoa; Chordata; Mammalia; Rodentia; Sciuridae
Source: RNAcentral